RNAcentral lists this ribosomal RNA (305 nucleotides) under uncultured bacterium. Its description in RNAcentral is "bacterial SSU rRNA". It matches the Rfam family "Bacterial small subunit ribosomal RNA", at positions 333 to 635 of the family's 1533-position model. The record is from RNAcentral.
UUGAUCCUACGGGAGGCAGCAGUGAGGAAUAUUGGUCAAUGGUCGGGAGACUGAACCAGCCAAGCCGCGUGAGGGAUGAAGGUACAGAGUGUCGUAAACCUCUUUUGUCAGGGAACAAAGGCGGGGACGCGUCCCCGGAUGAGUGUACCUGAAGAAAAAGCAUCGGCUAACUCCGUGCCAGCAGCCGCGGUAAUACGGAGGGGGCAAGCGUUAUCCGGAAUUACUGGGUGUAAAGGGAGCGUAGACGGCAAUGCAAGUCCGGAGUGGAAUGCGGCAGCUCAACUGCCGAACUGCUCUGGAAACUG